RNAcentral lists this ribosomal RNA (460 nucleotides) under uncultured bacterium. Its description in RNAcentral is "partial 16S ribosomal RNA". It matches the Rfam family "Bacterial small subunit ribosomal RNA", at positions 338 to 795 of the family's 1533-position model. The record is from RNAcentral.
CCUACGGGAGGCAGCAGUGAGAAAUAUUGGUCAAUGGACGAGAGUCUGAACCAGCCAAGUAGCGUGAAGGAUGACUGCCCUAUGGGUUGUAAACUUCUUUUAUAUGGGAAUAAAAUGUUCCACGUGUGGGAUUUUGUAUGUACCAUAUGAAUAAGGAUCGGCUAACUCCGUGCCAGCAGCCGCGGUAAUACGGAGGAUCCGAGCGUUAUCCGGAUUUAUUGGGUUUAAAGGGAGCGUAGGUGGAUUGUUAAGUCAGUUGUGAAAGUUUGCGGCUCAACCGUAAAAUUGCAGUUGAAACUGGCAGUCUUGAGUACAGUAGAGGUGAGCGGAAUUCGUGGUGUAGCGGUGAAAUGCUUAGAUAUCACGAAGAACUCCGAUUGCGAAGGCAGUUCACUGGACUGCAACUGACACUGAGGCUCGAAAGUGUGGGUAUCAAACAGGAUUAGAUACCCGGGUAGUC